Phacochoerus africanus (Common warthog) is the source of this 1245-nucleotide long non-coding RNA. RefSeq lists it as uncharacterized. The transcript has 2 exons. NCBI's taxonomy places the organism in Eukaryota, Metazoa, Chordata, Mammalia, Artiodactyla, Suidae. The record is from RefSeq and is a predicted model, not a curated record.
UACAUACAUCAGGAAAAAACUAAUAGUAUGUGAAGCAUAACCUCCCAAAAGAGGAAAGGGAAAAAGAUAGGGUAAAAGACACUUUGAUAUACUGCUAAGCACGAAGGAGCUACAGAGAAAUAGUCUCCCACACUCCCCCCACCCACCCCUCUUUCUCUCUCUCAAGACUGAAUAAUCAGCAAAUUUCUCUUCCAGUAGAAGGCAGAAAUGCUGAGAUUUAACUUGACUUACUGGACUGAGGAGGAUGCACUGGUUUAGAAAUGGCACUAAAGGAAAACUAUGGGAAUAGAUAAACGUAGGUAACCUUAGAAAUCAUACUAGAUACUCAAAAUCAUUUCUAUUUUUGUUUUUGGUAGGUCUUCCAGAAUUGAUAGGGGCCCUUUCUGAAGGGAAAGACUGAAUCCAAAGACUGACGACAGGAACCCUAACAUUAAAGGCUGUGAUUGGCUGAUGCGCCUCUGCUGUGGAUUCCGGAUGAUGUAGGACGACUGAGACGGGCUGGAGCUGUAAGGAAUCAGGUCAUGAGCAUCCUGCUGCCACACACGGCUAGACCUUGACGCUUCCCAGUGUUAUUCAAUGUGAUUCACUGGCUAGGAUGCUAUUUUGAAACUUCUUCUUGCAAACCGGCAAUAAUUAAUCUACGGUCUAUCCGAAAAUAUGAAUCCCAGAGAAAUUAUUUGACCACAGAGAUUUUUUUAACUGAUAAAACUCAGAAUUAUUUUUACUCUUUAGGAAGUCACUUCCGAUUUGCGUUAGUGCACAUACUUUUCUGAGUCCUUUCCACUAAGAUAUUUCUUCAGGGAAGAUGUUUUUCUUUUCCAUUGCAUUUAACACCAGUAGUCUUCAACUUUCGAAGGCUCCGAGAGCAGCAUUUAUCCACUAAUGAGAAAGUGUGCUUCCUACCUUUAACAGACCUGACUACCAUGACCUACUUUGCACCGGCUUAUUAACCACUGACUUGCUGAUGGGUGUGGGGAAGAAAAGAAGUUCAAAAGUAUGAUUUUAAAAUAGAAUCGUAACAAAAGAUGGGGUGCCCAAAUUGUUGUACUCCCCUAAAAAUCGGACUUGGGAGCAGCCAAGAAAGGACAGAUUCCUCCAAUAUAAAACAAAAGGAAGAACCAGAGAACGCAGUUUAAAAUGAAGGUCAGAGAUCAGAAGAUGGUUGUAAAACAACCCUGUGACCUCUUAUUCUUUGUUUACAAAUUAAGAAACAGACUAAAAGACAUUAAAGGUUCUUUAAGAGUU